Molecule: ribosomal RNA, 505 nt
Filed under: Dialister invisus
Lineage: Bacteria; Bacillati; Bacillota; Negativicutes; Veillonellales; Veillonellaceae
Description: bacterial SSU rRNA
Rfam family: Bacterial small subunit ribosomal RNA
Source: RNAcentral
GACGAACGCUGGCGGCGUGCUUAACACAUGCAAGUCGAACGAAAAGACGGAAAGAGCCUGCUCUUUCCGGAAUUGAAUGGCAAACGGGUGAGUAACACGUAAACAACCUGCCUUCAGGAUGGGGACAACAGACGGAAACGACUGCUAAUACCGAAUAAGUUCCAAGGGCCGCAUGGCCCAUGGAAGAAAAGGUGGCCUCUACCUGUAAGCUACCGCCUGAAGAGGGGUUUGCGUCUGAUUAGCUGGUUGGAGGGGUAACGGCCACCAAGGCGACGAUCAGUAGCCGGUCUGAGAGGAUGAACGGCCACACUGGAACUGAGACACGGUCCAGACUCCUACGGGAGGCAGCAGUGGGGAAUCUUCCGCAAUGGGCGAAAGCCUGACGGAGCAACGCCGCGUGAGUGAUGACGGCCUUCGGGUUGUAAAACUCUGUGAUCCGGGACGAAAAGGCAGAGUGCGAAGAACAAACUGCAUUGACGGUACCGGAAAAGCAAGCCACGGCUAA